GUCCACGCCGUAAACGAUGGAUACUAGCUGUUGGAGGUAUCGACCCCUUCAGUAGCGAAGCUAACGCGUUAAGUAUCCCGGCCUGUGGAGUACGGUCGCAAGACUAAAAACAUAAAGGAAUUGACGGGGACCCGCACAAGCGGUGGAUCGUGUUCUUUAAUUCGAUGAUAAACGAAGAACCUUACCAGGGUUUGACAUCCUUGGAAUUUCUGCGAAAGUAGAAAGUGCUUUAUUGAACCAAGUGACAGAUGAUGCAUGCCCGUCGU
RNAcentral lists this ribosomal RNA (266 nucleotides) under uncultured bacterium. RNAcentral describes it as "partial 16S ribosomal RNA". It matches the Rfam family "Bacterial small subunit ribosomal RNA", at positions 793 to 1055 of the family's 1533-position model. The record is from RNAcentral.